UGAGAAUGUGGAAGGAGCCUGCCGGACGCUGGCUGGCUGCCUCCCAGCGUCCACUUCCCCUUUUCUCUUUCC
This 72-nucleotide microRNA precursor is filed under the name Chlorocebus sabaeus (green monkey). Its description in RNAcentral is "miRNA (ENSCSAG00000023085.1)". Lineage: Eukaryota; Metazoa; Chordata; Mammalia; Primates; Cercopithecidae. The record is from RNAcentral.